Molecule: transfer RNA, 73 nt
Filed under: Daphnia pulicaria
Lineage: Eukaryota; Metazoa; Arthropoda; Branchiopoda; Diplostraca; Daphniidae
Description: tRNA-Val
Rfam family: tRNA
About the family: Transfer RNA (tRNA) molecules are approximately 80 nucleotides in length. Their secondary structure includes four short double-helical elements and three loops (D, anti-codon, and T loops).
Source: RNAcentral
GUUUCCAUAGUGUAGUGGUUAUCACGUCGGCUUUACACGCUGAAGAUCCUCAGUUCGAUCCUGUGUGGAAACA